RNAcentral lists this ribosomal RNA (599 nucleotides) under Drusilla sp. prope khamhengi HE-2012. Its description in RNAcentral is "partial 16S ribosomal RNA". The stretch from base 353 to 511 matches the Rfam family "Bacterial large subunit ribosomal RNA", at positions 2473 to 2632 of the family's 2925-position model. Lineage: Eukaryota; Metazoa; Arthropoda; Insecta; Coleoptera; Staphylinidae. The record is from RNAcentral.
CCCAAUGAGGAUUUUAAUGGCCGCAGUAUUUUGACUGUGCAAAGGUAGCAUAAUCAUUAGUUUCUUAAUUAGAAGCUGGAAUGAAAGGUUGAACGAAAAAAUAACUGUCUCUUUAUAAAUUUUUUAGAAUUUUAUUUUUAAGUUAAAAAGCUUAAAUUAAUUUAAAAGACGAGAAGACCCUAUAGAGUUUUAUUAAUUAUUUAAUAAUUUUUUAUAUUGUAUUAUUAUUUAUUUAUUAUAUAUUUAAUUUAAUUGGGGUGAUUGAAAAAUUUAAUAAACUUUUUUUAUAUUAAAACAUUAUUUUAUGAAUAAAUGAUCCAUUUUUAUGAUUAUAAGAUUAAAUUACCUUAGGGAUAACAGCGUAAUUUCUUUUAAGAGUUCAAAUCGAUAAAGAAGAUUGCGACCUCGAUGUUGGAUUAAAAUUAAUUAUUGGUGUAGAAGCUAAUAAAUUAGGUCUGUUCGACCUUUAAAAUUUUACAUGAUCUGAGUUUAAACCGGUGUAAGCCAGGUUGGUUUCUAUCUUUAAAAAUUUUUAAUAUUUUAGUACGAAAGGACCAAAUAUUAUAAAAAUUUUAUUUAAUUUUGAAUAUUAUUAAUUA